This is a long non-coding RNA of Anolis carolinensis (green anole), 2550 nucleotides long. RefSeq lists it as uncharacterized. NCBI's taxonomy places the organism in Eukaryota, Metazoa, Chordata, Lepidosauria, Squamata, Anolidae. The transcript is spliced from 2 exons. The record is from RefSeq and is a predicted model, not a curated record.
GGGGGUCGGAGAUGGCGUGGUCUUUUGGUGGCACUGGUAAAAGCAGAGGCCCGUCUCUUUACAAAGCCAGUGGAGAAUGGAGCAGGAGAGUGGAGGGUAGCACAGCUCCGUACAGCUGCAAGGCCGCCUCCCAACAGGGCAGAGCGCCCGGAGAAUGCUCUCUUUGUUUCUAUCCUUUAAAGGGUAGGAGAAACACUUAUGCAUGGCAAAUUAGCCCAAAAAUGUAUUUCUCUAAAACACCCGAUUGUCUAGCCAGCUCUGCAGCUGCAGGGAAGUUCCAGAAAGAGAGAGCGCAAGUGUGUGUGAGAGAGAUUGGUUUUUAGUGGUAGUGGGGGACAGUGGAGGGGAGGGAGAGGGAAUGGGGGAGAAGGCAGGCUAUGUGGAGGGAGAAGCAUUCGGCAUGUUAAUAUGCUGAGAAAUAGGAAUAAAAGGCGAUAGACUGUCAUGUCAAUGAGACUAUACGAUAGUGACAUUUAUGAUUAUCAUUUAAUAUGAGGGUAGGAAUAAACAAAAUGAAACAAUGUUUGAACGCCUUCUGUACAUAUUGUACAGAAAGGUAGCUUAAAAGCAGAUGUUCUGAAUAGGACCUAGUGAUCACUGUCUUCUGUUUUUUAUCAUUCAAAAAUGUGACAUUCUGCAAAUUCUACAUUUUUUUUUACACAGGGUAUAAAAUAGCCUAAAUUCAGUCUCUAUUCCCAACUACAGCAGGCCCAUGGAAUCAAUGGGGACUUAGUAAAUCAUUGCUUGGGUAGAUUCCAACAAUUUGGUGAGUCUAUUCUAUUUAAGGCAAUCAAAUGGACAUAAGUCUGAAAGUGAUGCACGUUUUACAGUAGGUCCUUGGUAUCUGCUGGGGUUUGGUUCCAAAAUGCUGUCUCUUAUAUAAAAUGGCAAUGCUUUUUAGAUGUUAAAAAAACAUGUCCAAGCUGUGGAUGGUUAAAUCUGCACACAUUGGGAACUAACUGUAUAUACAAUUAACUGUCUCUUUAAUCUGUUAUCACUCUGUGUUCCCUUUUUAUUUCUUAUAAUUUUUAUUAUACAGUACUUUGUUAUAAAUUUAUACCAAUCUUAUAGUUCACCCCCCCCCCCCCCAACCCUAAAAAUCCUCCAAUUGCUGAACUUCAUGCCAUUUCUCCCUACAUCCAGAUUUGUGUUGGAGCAAACUAUGAUAAUUUUCUAUAAAUACACAGACAGCAACUAUUCUAUGUAAUUUCAUUAAAUUAUCUUUAAAAUGCACUUACAACUACAAUUGUUGGAAUGGAAUUUAGUAACCUUGGGUAUCUAGUAAUUACAUUUAUUAUUUUAACACAUUUUUAAAACAUUUUGCAUUAUCACUGCAUGUGUCCAAAGUGUAAUCUUUUAUCUGUCAGUUUUAGCUAUACUGAAAGAAGCAAUAUUAAUAUAUUUGGUAAUGUGUGUGUGCAUUUGCAUGUGCAUACACACCUAUGGAGCCCCCAGUAGUGCAGCAAGUUAAACUGCUGAGCUGCUGAACUUGCUGACUGAAAGGUCAGUGGUUUGAAUCCAGAGAGCGGGGUGAGCUCCUGGUGUUAGAUCCCGCUUCUGCCAACCUAGCAGUUUGAAAGCAUGCAAAUGUGAGUAGAUCAAUAGGUACUGCUCUGGUGAGACGUAACGAACUCCAUACAGUCAUGCUGACCACAUGACCUUGGAGGUGUCUACGGACAAUGCCAGCUCUUUGGCUUAGAAAUGGAGAUGAGCACCAACCCCCAGAGUCGAACACAUAAAGGGGAAAGGGGAAAACCUUUACCUUUACCUACACACCUAUAUGAUGGAAAGGCUAGCAUAUUUGGUCCAAAUCUAAUUGCUAGUCUCAACUGGAAUAGACCCGUUCAAUUAAUUAAUUGGAUUUAUAUAAAUCUUCAAAUGUAAAUUACAUUUUUCCAGUGCAUAGGAUGCUGCAAUUGCACAUCCAAGGUUCAAGAUAAAGCCAUGGAAGAGUACUUUUUGGAUUAAGAUUACUCUCUGAUAUUAUAAAAGAUUAUAAUUUUGCUAAAGAAUGGAUGUGUCUGGUUUCCUACCUGUAUUGGCUUCCAGUCAAUUUCUGGUACUAAUUCAAACUACUUUUUUAAUCUUUAAAACACAUUGUGGUUUAGAAACAGGUUAAAUGAAAGAUCACCUCUUCCCAGAUGUGCUUGGAAAAUCUCCCUAAACCUCACAGACUUUUCUCCCAAUGACUUCAACAACGGAAGAAUGCCAAAUGACUAUUUGGGAAAGCCGGACUUGGAGCAGACCAUUCUUCCAACAGAGACUACAGUCAAUCCUUUGUAUCCACAGAUUCUGCAUCCAUGGAUUCAACAAGCCUCUCUCUCUCCCUCUCCCUCCCUCCCUCCCCCCCCCUCUCUCUCUAUAUAUAUAUACACACACACAGUAGAGUCUCACUUAUCCAAGCUAAACGGGCCGGCAGAAGCUUGGAUAAGCGAAUAUCUUGGAUAAUAAGGAGGGAUUAAAGAAAAGCCUAUUAAACAUCAAAUUAGGUUAUGAUUUUACAAAUUAAGCACCAAAACAUCAUAUUAUACAACAAAUUUGACAGAAAAA